CUUUAAUGGAGAGUUUGAUCCUGGCUCAGGACGAACGCUGGCGGCGUGCCUAAUACAUGCAAGUCGAGCGGGGCUAAGUAGAAGCUUGCUUCUAAACAACCUAGCGGCGGACGGGUGAGUAACACGUAGGCAACCUGCCCACAAGACAGGGAUAACUACCGGAAACGGUAGCUAAUACCCGAUACAUCCUUUUCCUGCAUGGGAGAAGGAGGAAAGACGGAGCAAUCUGUCACUUGUGGAUGGGCCUGCGGCGCAUUAGCUAGUUGGUGGGGUAAA
RNAcentral lists this ribosomal RNA (276 nucleotides) under Paenibacillus sp. cl130. RNAcentral describes it as "16S rRNA. Bacterial SSU". It matches the Rfam family "Bacterial small subunit ribosomal RNA", at positions 1 to 261 of the family's 1533-position model. Lineage: Bacteria; Bacillati; Bacillota; Bacilli; Caryophanales; Paenibacillaceae. The record is from RNAcentral.